RNAcentral lists this ribosomal RNA (305 nucleotides) under uncultured bacterium. RNAcentral describes it as "bacterial SSU rRNA". It matches the Rfam family "Bacterial small subunit ribosomal RNA", at positions 338 to 659 of the family's 1533-position model. The record is from RNAcentral.
CCUACGGGAGGCAGCAGUGGGGGAUAUUGCACAAUGGGGGAAACCCUGAUGCAGCAACGCCGCGUGGGUGAAGGAGCGUUUCGGCGCGUAAAGCCCUGUCAGCGGGAAAGAAGAAAGACGGUACCUGACUAAGAAGCCCCGGCUAACUACGUGCCAGCAGCCGCGGUAAUACGUAGGGGGCAAGCGUUAUCCGGAUUUACUGGGUGUAAAGGGAGCGUAGACGGCAGCGCAAGUCUGGAGUGAAAUGCCGGGGCCCAACCCCGGAACUGCUUUGGAAACUGUGCAGCUCGAGUGCAGGAGAGGUA